Molecule: unclassified non-coding RNA, 352 nt
Filed under: soil metagenome
Description: partial contains 5.8S ribosomal RNA, internal transcribed spacer 2, and large subunit ribosomal RNA
Rfam family: 5.8S ribosomal RNA (bases 1-119)
Source: RNAcentral
GAUGAAGAACGCAGCGAAAUGCGAUAAGUAAUGUGAAUUGCAGAAUUCAGUGAAUCAUCGAACUUUGAACGCACAUUGCGCCCGCCAGUAUUCUGGCGGGCAUGCCUGUUCGAGCGUCAUUACAACCCUCAGGCCCCCGGGCCUGGCGUUGGGGAUCGGCGGAAGCCCCCUGCGGGCACAACGCCGUCCCCCAAAUACAGUGGCGGUCCCGCCGCAGCUUCCAUUGCGUAGUAGCUAACACCUCGCAACUGGAGAGCGGCGCGGCCACGCCGUAAAACACCCAACUUCUGAAUGUUGACCUCGAAUCAGGUAGGAAUACCCGCUGAACUUAAGCAUAUCAAUAAGCGGAGGA